This 305-nucleotide ribosomal RNA is filed under the name uncultured bacterium. Its description in RNAcentral is "bacterial SSU rRNA". It matches the Rfam family "Bacterial small subunit ribosomal RNA", at positions 332 to 635 of the family's 1533-position model. The record is from RNAcentral.
UGGAGCCUACGGGGCGCAGCAGUGAGGAAUAUUGGUCAAUGGGCGGAAGCCUGAACCAGCCAAGUCGCGUGAGGGAAUAAGGCCCUACGGGUCGUAAACCUCUUUUGCCGGGGAGCAAGGGCGGGGACGUGUCCCGGCCCGGAGAGUACCCGGAGAAAAAGCAUCGGCUAACUCCGUGCCAGCAGCCGCGGUAAUACGGAGGAUGCGCGCGUUAUCCGGAUUUGUUGGGUUUAAAGGGUGCGUAGGCGGGCUUUUAAGUCAGCGGUAAAAAUUCGGGGCCCAACCCCGUCCGGACGUUGAAACUG